GUGCAGCACCGGGCUCCCAGAGC
Molecule: non-coding RNA, 23 nt
Filed under: Cricetulus griseus (Chinese hamster)
Lineage: Eukaryota; Metazoa; Chordata; Mammalia; Rodentia; Cricetidae
Source: RNAcentral